This 1026-nucleotide long non-coding RNA is filed under the name Nicotiana benthamiana. Its description in RNAcentral is "long non-coding RNA (NBEN_LNC024181)". The record is from RNAcentral. Lineage: Eukaryota; Viridiplantae; Streptophyta; Magnoliopsida; Solanales; Solanaceae.
GAAGCCUCUUUCUCUCUAGUCUCUCUCUAAGUUUCUAGUAUAUAUCACUUUCUUUUGUAAUUAUUCUGAAGAUUAGUACAAGCCUACCAGUUCGACUGAUAGGGCCAUUUGCCUUAAGAUAUUUCCUUUCUUUUUCUGUUUUUAAUUUAUUCUCCUCUCUCUAAGUCGUGACUAUGUCCAGCUGAGAUUAUACAUGUCUAUGGAGGUUUUCUAACUUCUUUUGCUUAAUAACUAUGAAAGAUCUAGACUCAUCAAAAUAUAAAGAAAUUUUAUAAAGUUUUUUUGGCUUGGUUCUGAGAUGGCGGUACAGGAAGAUUCGAUACUUUUCUUAUUGGUUUUGCCUUAGUAGCUCCGUCUAACAAGUUGUGACAUUCAGCCCGCUUAGCUGUGUGCGUUAAGGGCAUUUCAGUCAUGGUCAGGCCGUUAGAUAUAUGGGUUCAGUGAAGAUAAGUAUUAAAUCUUGACAUGUCCCUUGCUUGGGUAAAAGGUUACCAUACAGUCAUUAAAACUCUAUAAAAUUCCUCGAUAUUUCGACUUAUAAUGUUAUUUUUUGUUGAAUCAAAGCGUGAGCCGUGCGGACUACCGCCAGUACACGCAGAGAUCCUGCAAAUGCUAUCAGAUCCUAGGCCCUUUCAUAGUUAAUAAGUAAUAGGUGUGAAGAAUCUAACAUAGACAUGAAGAAUUAGACAUGGAUUUGGGUGAAACCAGUACUAAAAGUACUAGACUUGAAGAGGCAGAUAUACCUCAAAACCUUGACGGGUCCCAUAUAUGGGUCCCUUACACAGUAUAUCUACUGUUAAUAAAUAGUAAGGAAGGUCCCAUAUGUGGGUCCCUUGUACAGUGUAUCAAACUCUGAAUAUCGGUGUUAAGAGGGACUACUCUUAAGAAGGUAAUUAAAAUUCAUCAUUAAAGAAUAUAUUAUAGAAACUCAUUAUGAUUCUAAAUAUUCUCGGGAUAAGAAAUCAGAAAGAGAAUUAUCAAUUCCCUUUUUAUAAACAAUAUCAAAAUCAAAAAGUGUUAGUUGAG